GUAGGUGGCAAGCGUUGUCCGGAAUUAUUGGGGCGUAAAGCGCGCGCAGGCGGUUCUUUAAGUCUGAUGUGAAAGCCCACGGGCUCAACCGUGGAGGGUCAUUGGAAACUGGAGAACUUGAGUACAGAAGAGGAAAGCGGAAUUCCACGUGUAGCGGUGAAAUGCGUAGAGAUGUGGAGGAACACCAGUGGCGAAGGCGGCUUUCUGGUCUGUAACUGGCGCUGAGGCGCGAAAGCGUGGGGAGCAAACAGGAUUAGAUACCCUGGUAGUCCACGCCGUAAACGAUGAGUGCUAAGUGUUAGGGGGUUUCCGCCCCUUAGUGCUGCAGCUAACGCAUUAAGCACUCCGCCUGGGGAGUACGGCCGCAAAGGCUG
This 374-nucleotide ribosomal RNA is filed under the name uncultured organism. RNAcentral describes it as "partial 16S ribosomal RNA". It matches the Rfam family "Bacterial small subunit ribosomal RNA", at positions 527 to 896 of the family's 1533-position model. The record is from RNAcentral.